UACGAAGGGGACUAGCGUUGUUCGGAUUUACUGGGCGUAAAGGGCGCGCAGGCGGCUCAUUUUGUCAGGCGUGAAAGCCCCGGGCUUAACCUGGGAACUGCGUUUGAUACGGAUGGGCUAGAGUUCGGGAGAGGAGAGUGGAAUUCCCAGUGUAGAGGUGAAAUUCGUAGAUAUUGGGAAGAACACCGGUGGCGAAGGCGGCUCUCUGGACCGAUACUGACGCUGAGGCGCGAAAGCGUGGGGAGCAAACAGG
RNAcentral lists this ribosomal RNA (253 nucleotides) under uncultured bacterium. RNAcentral's name for it is "partial 16S ribosomal RNA". It matches the Rfam family "Bacterial small subunit ribosomal RNA", at positions 524 to 776 of the family's 1533-position model. The record is from RNAcentral.